GGGGAGAAGAGAUAAGGACGAAGGAAAGGAAUAUCCUCACACAGAUGACAUAAUCUAAAGUAAUUAAUGAAGGAACAUUGCAAACAAAAACUGACUCCGGUUAUGAUCAGAUGAAGACACUGAAGGAAGCUUCUAUGAGAGAUAGAUUAAGUGCCCUAACCCCUAACGAUAGAGGAAUAUUUCAGUAUGCUAAUGAACAAGACUGUAUUUUUAUAUUUCAAUUUCGUCCAAGCAGGCCAAACAGGAUCCAAAAUACAAAACCC
This 263-nucleotide unclassified non-coding RNA is filed under the name Hevea brasiliensis (rubber tree). The record is from RNAcentral. Lineage: Eukaryota; Viridiplantae; Streptophyta; Magnoliopsida; Malpighiales; Euphorbiaceae.